UCCGCCACGACAGCACGGCAGCCUUCGGAGCUGUGAGGUCUAGGUUCGAAUCCUGGUGGCGGAG
RNAcentral lists this transfer RNA (64 nucleotides) under Frigoribacterium sp. PhB24. RNAcentral describes it as "tRNA-Arg". The record is from RNAcentral. Lineage: Bacteria; Bacillati; Actinomycetota; Actinomycetes; Micrococcales; Microbacteriaceae.